GGCCCUACGGGGCGCAGCAGGCGCGAAACCUCCGCAAUGUGAGAAAUCGCGACGGGGGGAUCCCAAGUGCCAUUCUUAACGGGAUGGCUUUUCAUUAGUGUAAAGAGCUUUUGGAAUAAGAGCUGGGCAAGACCGGUGCCAGCCGCCGCGGUAACACCGGCAGCUCUAGUGGUAGCAAUUUUUAUU
This 186-nucleotide ribosomal RNA is filed under the name uncultured Methanobrevibacter sp. RNAcentral describes it as "partial 16S ribosomal RNA". It matches the Rfam family "Archaeal small subunit ribosomal RNA", at positions 319 to 505 of the family's 1478-position model. The record is from RNAcentral. Lineage: Archaea; Methanobacteriati; Methanobacteriota; Methanobacteria; Methanobacteriales; Methanobacteriaceae.